CUGCUUUUAAUACUGCAGGACUAGAGUCCGGAAGAGGAUAGCGGAAUUCCUAGUGUAGAGGUGAAAUUCGUAGAUAUUAGGAGGAACACCGGUGGCGAAGGCGAUCAUCUGGGCUACAACUGACGCUGAUGCACGAAAGCGUGGGGAGCAAACAGGAUUAGAUACCCUGGUAGUCCACGCCGUAAACGAUGAGUGCUAGAUAUCGGAAGAUUCUCUUUCGGUUUCGCAGCUAACGCAUUAAGCACUCCGCCUGGGGAGUACGGUCGCAAGAUUAAAACUCAAAGGAAUUGACGGGGGCUCGCACAAGCGGUGGAGCAUGCGGUUUAAUUCGAUGUUACGCGAAAAACCUUACCAACCCUUGACAUGGUGGUCGCGGAUCGCAGAGAUGCUUUUCUUCAGCUCGGCUGGACCUCACACAGGUGCUGCAUA
Molecule: ribosomal RNA, 429 nt
Filed under: uncultured Rickettsia sp.
Lineage: Bacteria; Pseudomonadati; Pseudomonadota; Alphaproteobacteria; Rickettsiales; Rickettsiaceae
Description: bacterial SSU rRNA
Rfam family: Bacterial small subunit ribosomal RNA
Source: RNAcentral